RNAcentral lists this ribosomal RNA (88 nucleotides) under Pratylenchus pratensis. RNAcentral describes it as "partial 28S ribosomal RNA". It matches the Rfam family "Eukaryotic large subunit ribosomal RNA", at positions 11 to 98 of the family's 3401-position model. The record is from RNAcentral. Lineage: Eukaryota; Metazoa; Nematoda; Chromadorea; Rhabditida; Pratylenchidae.
UCAGACGUGACUACCCGCUGAACUUAAGCAUAUCAGUAAGCGGAGGAAAAGAAACUAACAAGGAUUCCCUUAGUAACGGCGAGUGAAA